ACGACCUUACUUGAACAGGAUCUGUUCUAUAGGUUGUACCUCUGUAUCCUUGAUUUCUAAGGAGACAGGAACCUCAGUCUGGUGGAUGAACCAUGGCCGUGUGAUCAGAGCGUGAUUAACGGCCUUGUGACCCUCGGGAUCAUUAAGGCAGUAGAUGAUCGUUCUCAGCCAUCUCUUCAGCCGGCUGGGGUGGUCACACGGUUGUCUGACAGACC
Pyrus x bretschneideri (Chinese white pear) is the source of this 215-nucleotide small nucleolar RNA. RefSeq annotates it as small nucleolar RNA U3. The transcript has a single exon. Lineage: Eukaryota; Viridiplantae; Streptophyta; Magnoliopsida; Rosales; Rosaceae. The record is from RefSeq and is a predicted model, not a curated record.